UAUUUUUAUAUGUAAAUAUGUACAUAUUUAAAUAUGUAAUAAUUUUCAUGCAGACAUAUAGAAGGAGGGAGUCCGGUUAGAUGAAGGCUAAAGCUUCAUCUGUCUCAAAACCAGAGUGGAAGUUGAACAGUGCCUUGCUCUAGGAAGCUCCGGGCAUUCCUAGAUGAUGGCUGCAUCUUGCAUACUGCUAACAUCUGACCUAAAGGAGACUGAAAGAUAAGAUGAGAAUGAAUGAAAGAAGCCCAACUGUAUUAGUCAUUUAUUGCUGCCUAUCAAAUUUGCCCAAAACUUAGCAGCUUAAAACAAACAAGAUUUAUUUCCUCACACUGUCUGAGGGUCAGGAAUCCAAGAGCAUUGUGGCUCGGUGGUCCUGGCUCCAUGUUUCUCACAAAGUUGCAGUCAGACGUCAGCUGAGGCUACAGUCAUCUCGAGGCUCUACUGGGGCUGAUGGAUUCACUGCCAAGUUUACUCGCAUGGCUGUUGGCUGGAGGCCUCAGUUCUUUGCCAUGUGGCUCUCUUUACAGGGCUACCUGGUUUCUGCCUGAGCAGCAAGUGAUGAAGGAGAGUGAGCGUAUGAGAGAGCAAGAGAGUGAGCCCAAUCGUGGACUGACCACACAGUUGACCCUGGUUGACUGUGAGAAAGGACACAGGCUAUGAACACCAGGAGGUGGGGAUCAUUGGACGCCAUCUUGGAGGCUGGCUACCUCAACAAUCUUCUUAGAUUCCAUGAUUUCUCGACAAUAGAAAGAUGACAGGAUGUACUUCCCAGAUUUCAGGAAUUCAGGCUUCUGAUGGUCCCCAAGAAAUAAGAGGACAUGAGACUCCAAAAGAAGAGAGAUGGCUCAAGAAGGUGGGAGAACUCCUGGUAAAAUUCCAAAUGUGUAAAUUGCCAGUGCUCUUGAAGAGAAAUAGUAAGGUGGGAACAGGUUGCUGAUGAGACCAGGGCAGCUCCUGGAGAAGCUCACCUUUGAGUAGAGCUGGCAAAAGGGAACAAGGAGCAUAGUGUAGCAGAGUCACACAAACCUAGUUUGCUAAUUAGGUCUAAUUAAUUAAGGCAGUGAAAUUGUAAGGAUAACAACAACCAAAAAAAGCUUUCUUUUUUUUUUGGCAUGGGCAGAAAAUCAAGAAAGGAACUUCUCUGUGGCUUCUGUGGAGUCAACUCUUCCUGACUGCCUGACUGCCACGAGGUACCAGCUUGACUACAUUUCCCAGCAUCCUUUGGAGUGAGACUAUCCUUGCAGUUAGACGAUUUUCUAGUCUCCUUUGCAGGGAUCUUGGAAGCCCCAUGUUGAAGGUGGCAGAGCAACAAAAAUUGAGGAAGCCCUGAAUCCCUGAACUAUUAUUUGGAGAUGACCACCCACUGAUCCAGAACACUCAUUAUUGGGCUUUAGGAGAAUGAGAAAUUCUGUCAUGCUUGAGACUCCGUACAUCUUUGGAUUUGUUUUAACUGCUAGUUUUACCCUGACUAACAUGGCAAUUGACAGCCUCUGAGAAGAGAUUUGGAGAAUCUGCUUUUUUAACAAGUACCCCAGGGGAGUUUGAGAAUCACUGCUGAAAGCCAAGGGGAGCCAGUCACCCAAGGAUUUAACGCUGACCAAGGAACGCCACGCUAUUUGCAUUUUAGAAUGACAGCAAGGGAGCAGAACUCUGCUCCCUUCUUCCUUGCCAAGGAGAACAAUCUAUUGACUCAAAAGAAAAAGAAACUUUGGUAAGAGAAAAUUGAAGCUCUAGAUGAGUAAAAAGAUUCUAACAGUACCAAGCUGCCGUAAAUGAGCUCAAGUCUCUUGGCCAGGACAAAUUACACUCCAGGGAGUAGAGAGAACUCGCCUCUGAAGCUGUAAAGCCUCUGCUGAUAAUCUUUACAGAACAUGGAGACUGUGAAAGAAAUUGGAACGCUAGAGAUGGCAAAAUAUAGGUCUGAUUAGUAAAGAGGGGGAAAGCUCCUGCAAACUACAGAAGUGGGGCUCUCCUAUCCAUCCUCAUUAAGUUCUCUGAUCAGACUACCUAAGGCUGACUUGUGAGCACGUGAAAAAUGGAGCAGAAUCCUCUAGAAGCCUGUGUGGGUUCUUUAAGAGCAAGCCACGACAAGGUAACUGUGUUCCCAGUUUCGUGGUGGGCUUGCUAGAUUAUUAUGUCAGGGAAUUGUGUUAGCUAUGGUAGAGACAAAGCACACCUCGGCUUGUCUGUCUGUCAAGGAAUCUCAUGAUAAAUUUGUGCAUGAGAUGAAGUAAUUUCAGCUGCAGACCAGCAUGCCUGUUAGGUGGAUUUAGAACUGUUUUUAUGGCCAUUCCCAAAGAUGCUAGUCAAUGUCCUUGCGGAAGUGCAUUUCUAGUUGAAGGCACAGUCAUUUUCGCAUUUGAUAUUUUUAUUAGUGUGUGGACAUAGAUGACUUAGUUAAUACCUGACACAUUUGGAGACGACAUGCAGAGAAUACUUUGGUUGACACACCAGGGCCCAAAGAACAGACUACAGUGCUAAGCUAAAUGUAAUGAUAUAAGAUGAAACAGGGAAACGGUAGGGUGAGAUGCUCCCGUCCAAAUAGUCCCUGUGUGAGUGCAGGGCCAAGAGGCAAAAUCAUCGGCAGAGAGAAAAAAAAACAAGAAUCUCAGCUGACAGUAACACGGCACGUUGUUCAGCUGCUCUAAGCCCAUUGUGGCCUUGGGUUGAAUUGAGGGAAGCAUGAAAGAGACGCUCUUGACACCUGGAAUGUUGCAUUUGGUGGUGAGUUCCCCUUUGUGAGAUGCCCGAGAGUGUGGAGACGAAGAUGAGCGAUGUGUCUCGGGGAGGGAGCUCUGAAUCCUGUCAUCUGAGAAACAUUUAAGGAACUGGAAGAGGUCAGUCUGAAGGCACUGGACCAGGAAGGAGAAAAAUGGGGCCCUUUCUGGCCAAGUGCUUUCACUGACUCCAGGUACGAGGAAGAAUACAAUAUGAUUCCUGUCCUCAGAGAUGGAAAAGUUCGCAUGCCUGUGGAUACUAGCCUUUACACAGACAACAUAAGGACUGAACAGCGUGGUAAUUAAUGAAGAUGAAAGAAGUAGAAAGAGUAACAAGUAAUAAGUGAGAAUAAGUAUUAAACUAAGUACUGACUUUGGGAGUACCCAGGCUCCAUUUUUAUGCCAAAUCUCUGGUGUUAAGGCAUAAGAGAUACUGUGUCCCCUAAAAGGGGAUAUGUUCUAAGACAUAGCACAAAACAGCAGAAAAAAUAACGUUCUGCUGCUGACUUGUGUUCAUUGUUCAACUUGUGGGCCACUAGGACUCUUGAAUCUUCUUUCCCCAUAUUUGCAUCUAAUUAGCAUUUGCAUAGUUGCUGUCUUUCCCCGAAAUGUUUCUUUCCCAACACUCAGUAUUGCCAUAACAAGAUGGGGAAAUAGAGGAAAUAAUUUUUUUUAAACGUUCAAUUGAUUUCCUUUUUUAAAAAGACACCUUUUUUGAAUUAUUACAUAUCAUAAAAUUCAUCUGUUUUGUGUGUGCAACUCAAUGAAUUUUAGUAAAUUUACAGAGGUGUGCAGCCAUCACAACCAGUUUUAAAACAUUUCCAUUACCAGAGAGAAUAAUUUAGGGGCACAAUCCAGUGAGUGUGGGCAUAUUUAACCCACUUGAGCAUGCAUUUCUGAAACUGUUGUACUUAAGAAAAUCUGUCAGCAAAUUUUGAGUUGCUUCAUGAUAUACUUUUGCAAAACAAAGUAAAAUGCAGCAGAAGGAAGGAUCUCUGUGCCUGAAAUCCUGAGAAACCAUUAUCUAUUUUGCAGAUCACUUCAUUAAUAAACAGAUUAUUACAAAAAUAAUUAUUUUCGAGAUGACAUGUUUUCUAUUGGGACACAUAAAAAGUCUUUAAAUUUGCUCUUCAAAAAAAUCACUUACACCCACAAAACUACUUCAAUCAAGAAAGUAAAUCUAGGUAUGGGAAAACCAUGGCAAAAACAGCUUUACCUUUUUGUCUUUAAAAUUUAGUGUAUUAAUUUUCGUUCGGAUUCUCUUUUCUCUCCUGAUUGUUUGGAGGAAGGAUUUCUCUGGUGAAAAGUACCCCGAUCUGAUGCCUUUGCAAAAGCAGUCACCCCUCUGGCAUGAAAGGCACCAUUCAA
Cercocebus atys (sooty mangabey) is the source of this 4082-nucleotide long non-coding RNA. RefSeq lists it as uncharacterized. The transcript is spliced from 4 exons. Lineage: Eukaryota; Metazoa; Chordata; Mammalia; Primates; Cercopithecidae. The record is from RefSeq and is a predicted model, not a curated record.